AGCGAACGCUGGCGGCAGGCCUAACACAUGCAAGUCGAACGGGCUCUUCGGAGCUAGUGGCGGACGGGUGAGUAACACGUGGGAACGUGCCUUUAGGUUCGGAAUAAGCCCGGGAAACUGGGUCUAAUACCGAAUGUGCCCUUCGGGGGAAAGAUUUAUCGCCUUUAGAGCGGCCCGCGUCUGAUUGGCUAGUUGGUGAGGUAAUGGCUCACCAAGGCGACGAUCAGUAGCUGGUCUGAGAGGAUGACCAGCCACAUUGGGACUGAGACACGGCCCAAACUCCUACGGGAGGCAGCAGUGGGGAAUCUUGCGCAAUGGGCGAAAGCCUGACGCAGCCAUGCCGCGUGAAUGAUGAAGGUCUUAGGAUUGUAAAAUUCUUUCACCGGGGACGAUAAUGACGGUACCCGGAGAAGAAGCCCCGGCUAACUUCGUGCCAGCAGCCGCAGUAA
RNAcentral lists this ribosomal RNA (449 nucleotides) under uncultured bacterium. RNAcentral describes it as "partial 16S ribosomal RNA". It matches the Rfam family "Bacterial small subunit ribosomal RNA", at positions 29 to 523 of the family's 1533-position model. The record is from RNAcentral.